RNAcentral lists this non-coding RNA (220 nucleotides) under Falseniella ignava. Its description in RNAcentral is "Facklamia ignava T-box sequence". It matches the Rfam family "T-box leader". From Rfam's summary of the family: Uncharged tRNA acts as the effector for transcription antitermination of genes in the T-box leader family. T-boxes are found upstream of many aminoacyl-tRNA synthetase genes and some amino acid biosynthetic genes usually in Gram-positive bacteria. The anticodon of a specific tRNA base pairs to a specifier sequence within the T-box motif, and the NCCA acceptor tail of the tRNA base pairs to a conserved bulge in the T-box antiterminator hairpin. The record is from RNAcentral. Lineage: Bacteria; Bacillati; Bacillota; Bacilli; Lactobacillales; Aerococcaceae.
CUAAAUUAGAUCGUAGAAAUUAUUAGUUAUUCAGUGCUGUUUAGAGAGCUUACACCGGGUGAAAGUAAGUCAGUAAGGGGUAAUGAACUCAUUCUAUGCUAGCUUAAUUGAAAAAAGUAGAUUAAGCCGUGAUAUCAACGUUAUCGAUAUUAAGCAAAUAUAAUAUAAGAAAUAGAUUAUAUUUGAAAAUUAGGUGGUACCGCGUUAAGACGCCCUAUGU